This 253-nucleotide ribosomal RNA is filed under the name uncultured bacterium. RNAcentral describes it as "partial 16S ribosomal RNA". It matches the Rfam family "Bacterial small subunit ribosomal RNA", at positions 524 to 776 of the family's 1533-position model. The record is from RNAcentral.
GACGGAAGGUGCAAGCGUUGCUCGGAAUCACUGGGCGUAAAGGGUGCGUAGGCGGCUUGGUGGGUCUGGUGUGAAAGCCCCGGGCUCAGCCCGGGAAGGGCACUAGAAACUGCCGAGCUGGAGUGCCGGAGGGGAGAGUGGAAUUCCUGGUGUAGCGGUGAAAUGCGCAGAUAUCAGGAAGAACACCCGUGGCUAAGGCGGCUCUCUAGUACGGUACUGACGCUGAGACGCGAAAGCGUGGGGAGCGAACAGG